GACGAACGCUGGCGGCGUGCUUAACACAUGCAAGUCGAACGGUGAAGCUCCAGCUUGCUGGAGUGGAUCAGUGGCGAACGGGUGAGUAACACGUGAGCAACCUGCCCCAGACUCUGGAAUAAGCGCUGGAAACGGCGUCUAAUACUGGAUACGAGAUCAAGCCGCAUGGUUAUGGUCUGGAAAGUUUUUCGGUUUGGGAUGGGCUCGCGGCCUAUCAGCUUGUUGGUGAGGUAAUGGCUCACCAAGGCGACGACGGGUAGCCGGCCUGAGAGGGCGACCGGCCACACUGGGACUGAGACACGGCCCAGACUCCUACGGGAGGCAGCAGUGGGGAAUAUUGCACAAUGGGCGAAAGCCUGAUGCAGCGACGCCGCGUGAGGGAUGACGGCCUUCGGGUCGUAAACCUCUUUCAGCAGGGAAGAAGCGAAAGUGACGGUACCUGCAGAAGAAGCACCGGCUAACUACGUG
This 468-nucleotide ribosomal RNA is filed under the name uncultured bacterium. Its description in RNAcentral is "partial 16S ribosomal RNA". It matches the Rfam family "Bacterial small subunit ribosomal RNA", at positions 28 to 507 of the family's 1533-position model. The record is from RNAcentral.